RNAcentral lists this ribosomal RNA (332 nucleotides) under uncultured eukaryote. RNAcentral's name for it is "partial 18S ribosomal RNA". It matches the Rfam family "Eukaryotic small subunit ribosomal RNA", at positions 1470 to 1796 of the family's 1831-position model. The record is from RNAcentral.
CCCUUAGAUGUCCUGGGCUGCACGCGCGCUACACUGGAAGUUACGGAUUGAGAUACUACCUUGUCCGAAAUGGUCCGGGUAAUCACCUAAAAGCUUGUCAUAAUUGGAAUGGAUUAUUGUAACUAGUAAUCCUGAACGAGGAAUUCCUAGUAAGUCCCAGUCAACAGCUGGUACUGAUUACGUCCCUGCCCUUUGUACACACCGCCCGUCGCUACUACUGAUUGGACGUUUAAGCAAGAUUUUUAAACACUGACAGUGUGUAGUUCACGCUAUACUACAGUGAGAAGAAGAAGAUCGAGCUUACUUGUCUAGAGGAAGUAAAUGUCGUAACA